RNAcentral lists this ribosomal RNA (1506 nucleotides) under Meloidogyne arenaria. RNAcentral describes it as "SSU rRNA". It matches the Rfam family "Eukaryotic small subunit ribosomal RNA". Lineage: Eukaryota; Metazoa; Nematoda; Chromadorea; Rhabditida; Meloidogynidae. The record is from RNAcentral.
UCUGGUUGAUCCUGCCUGAACUGAUGUGUUUAUUUCAAAGAUUAAGCCAUGCAUGUAUAAGUUUAAUCGUUUAUCGAGAAACCGCGAACGGCUCAUUAGAAUGGCCAUUAUUUACUUGAUCUUGAUUGUCUAAAUGGAUAACUGUGGAAAAGCUAGAGCUAAUACAUGCACUAAAGCUUUGUCCUUACGGAAAAGCGCAUUUAUUAGAACAAAACCACGCGGCUUCGGCUGCUUCUUGUUGACUCAGAAUAACUUAGCUGACCGCAUGGCCUUGUGCCGGCGGCGUGUCUUUCAAGCGUCCACUUUAUCAACUUGACGGGAGCAUAAUCGACUCCCGUGGUGGUGACGGAUAACGGAGGAUCAGGGUUCGACUCCGGAGAAGGGGCCUGAGAAAUGGCCACUACGUCUAAGGAUGGCAGCAGGCGCGCAAAUUACCCACUCUCGGCUCCAGGAGGUAGUGACGAGAAAUAACGAGACUGUUCUCUUUGAGGCCGGUCAUCGGAAUGGGUACAAUUUAAACCCUUUAACGAGUAUCAAGCAGAGGGCAAGUCUGGUGCCAGCAGCCGCGGUAAUUCCAGCUCUGCAAAUACAUAGAAUUAUUGCUGCGGUUAGAAAGCUCAUAGUUGGAUUCGUAUCGAUACCUUGGAACCCUUCGGGUGUCUCUAGGUGUUAUCGAUUUAUCGUAAUGUUCGGUUUUGAGUCCUUAACAGGAUUCUUAACAGGCAUUGCAAGUUUACUUUGAACAAAUCAGAGUGCUUCAAACAGGCGUUUUCGCUUGAAUGAUCGUGCAUGGAAUAAUAGAAAAUGAUUUCGGUUCAGUUUUAUUGGUUUUACGGACUGAGAUAAUGGUUAACAGAGACAAACGGCAGGCUCCACACCACCAGGAGUGGAGCCUGCGGCUUAAUUUGACUCAACACGGGGAAACUCACCCGGCCCGGACACUGUGAGGAUUGACAGAUUGAUAGCUUUUUCAUGAUUCAGUGGAUGGUGGUGCAUGGCCGUUCUUAGUUCGUGGAGUGAUUUGUCUGGUUUAUUCCGAUAACGAGCGAGACUCUAACCUACUAAAUAGUUGGUACAUACUCUUAGUGUAUACAGCUUCUUAGAGGGAUUUGCGGCGUUCAGCCGAAAGAAAUUGAGCAAUAACAGGUCUGUGAUGCCCUUAGAUGUCCGGGGCUGCACGCGCGCUACACUGGCAAAAUCAACGUGCUUGUCCUACCCUGAAAGGGGCGGGUAAACCAUUGAAAAUUUGCCGUGAUUGGGAUCGGAAAUUGCAAUUAUUUUCCGUGAACGAGGAAUUCCAAGUAAGUGCGAGUCAUCAGCUCGCGUUGAUUACGUCCCUGCCCUUUGUACACACCGCCCGUCGCUGCCCGGGACUGAGCCAUUUCGAGAAAUUUGGGGACCGUUGAUUUAAUUUUUCUAAAUUACUUUGAUGGAAACCAAUUUAAUCGCAGUGGCUUGAACCGGGCAAAAGUCGUAACAAGGUAGCUGUAGGUGAAUAUGCUGCUG